RNAcentral lists this long non-coding RNA (3700 nucleotides) under Cucumis sativus (cucumber). RNAcentral describes it as "long non-coding RNA (CSAT_LNC001032)". The record is from RNAcentral. Lineage: Eukaryota; Viridiplantae; Streptophyta; Magnoliopsida; Cucurbitales; Cucurbitaceae.
UUUAAGCUUUUAAACCUUGAAACAAAGCUGAUAAAGGAACAUAUACAUCAACCACACGGUAAUCAAUAUAUCGAGACGAUUCAAUCCAUCUACCAUUCACCACAAUCUUUACCUGUUGUAAAGCCAUCACAGAUAAUGCUAAACGAUAAUGUAAAGAAAGCCAGCACAAUAUCACGCUAAAGGAAGGCUUCGACAAAAACAGUAACAUUCAAAAUAAAAAAUCUAAUUAAAAUGAGUAUGAAUAUUUAUGUAAUUAAAAAAUAGAACGUGAAAAAUAAUUAUUCGAUACAAGAAGCACAAUAAAUUAACUUUUUUUAGUAAAAACCAAUCAAAAUAAGUGUAUAAUCAUAAUUAGCACAAUUGUAGGGGAUGAUAUAACUUUGUUUUAAAAUUAUUAUUUACCAUACAUAAUAUGUAUUAUCUGAUAAGUUUAAAAAAUAUAUAUAAUUUGCAAUAUAAAUAAUAUAAAAAUGCUUAAUUUAUGUAUGCUUCAUUAUUUUAAGGAUAUGAUGUACUAUUUGAUCAAAAUAUUAUAAAAUAUAAUGACUUAGAACAAUUGAAAUUCUCAAAGCCAUUUUUUUAAAAAUUAAUGAUACGUAGUAUGUAUUAUCUUAUACAUUUUUUAAAAAUAAUUUGAAAUAUAAAUAAUACGAAAAUACUGAAUUAGUGUUUACAAUUAUUUUAGGGAUAUGAUAUAAUAUUUGAAUUCAAAAUAUUAUGAAAUCUAAUGAAUGAGAAAUUGUUGAAAAUAUGUUAGCCAUUUUUCAGGACAAUGGUUAUUAAACGUAAGAUUUAUGAAUGUUACAUAAUUUCAUUUAAAUACUAAAAAUCUGAAAAUUUGUUAUGAAUUAUAGUCAUAUAUUUAGAGAAUAUUGGAAAAAUCCUGUCAAUCCCGAAAAUAUCAUAAAUUAGUUAAAAUUUUCCACAACUGAUGUUAAAUUGAAAAUACAUUGUCUUUGUGACUGUGUGAUAUUUCGCCUCAAUACUUGCAUCAUGCAAAUACACUGUAUCUGUAAAAAAAAGUAUUAUCCUACAUAAAGGGUAUAAGGGUAAUAAAAGUAAAAAAAAUUGAAACCAUCCAUUUUACAAAAAAAAAUCUUAUUAAUUUUCAAAUUUGCUACUUUUACUUUUACUAUACUAAAUUUUGUUGUAUUCAUGAUUAUCUCUCAAAGGAAAGAUUGGAUUCACACUCAACUUUAGCCCAAACCCAAAAGUAAUUGGGUCCAAACUCAUUUAAAGGCCAUGAGAAAUCUAUGUAAAUAAUGGUUCAUUUCUUUGUUUUAAUGGGAAGAAGAGGCAGAGGUUGGAAGAAAUGCAGACUCAAGAUUUGAAGUUCAAGCUCUAAAGUACUUAAUAAUAUAACUCUUAUUAGGCUUUGAAGAUCGGAGCUUUGCUACUCUUAAAUUUUGAAGACUUCUAAGUCAAUCGAAGCUGAUUAACAAGCCAAAGGCCGAACCAAGCUAAUCAACAAGCUAAAUAACAAUCUAAGUUGAUCAACAAGCCAAAGGUCGAUCUAAGAAGAUUGACAAUCCCAAUAGGACAAUUAUUCAAGAAGAGAUUCAAAGAUCCAUCCUUCAUGAGGCCAACAAGCCCACAUGCCCAGAAGAUAGUCAAGCUAAAAGGGUUGUUGUUGUUGUUUGUUUGUUUGUUAUUGUUGUUGUUGUUACAUAAGUAUCAUAUCUGUUUUACGCGAUUUUCAUGUUUUAAUUCAGGAUAAGUAGAAAAGAAGAAAUGAGCAAAUCACUAAGGACAUCUCGCGCACAAACAACGCGAUGGGAAAUCGCCUAACGAAGAACAUCUAUAGGCGAGGAACCAUGUCAUAUCAGGUGAGGAAGGCUCUAUAAAAGACAAGAAUGGUAGUUGGAGUGAUGUGACUUCAUAGGAUCGAAAUCGGCACUGACAAUCUCAGAAGAAUAGAAGUUUCCCGCCCGAAGCUAUCUAUAAAAAUACUUCAUCAUCAUCAAGAGCUGGAGGUCUGAAUGGGCCAAAAAUGGAGCCUACGUGAGCCAACUAGGGGUCUAAACAGACCAUGAAAGAAAGUCACGAUGAACCACAAGUGUAAAGAGUUCAGUUUUCUCCUUCUUCUAUGGUCUUCCUGUGAGUGGGAGCUUGAAGCUUGGGUAGAGAAGAAGAUCAUUCCCUUCUAUCCCCUAACUUGUAAUAUUGUUUUAUUGUUAUGUCUUUCAUUUUUGUUUUUCUUGUAAUAUAUAUUGUGCAUGUCGUACGUGGCCUACGACCUACAUUCUUUGUAUAUAUUACAUACUUAUACCCUUUUCAAUCUAACAUUCCUUUACUUUCCACCAAUCAAUGUGUUGUUUGUAGCUUAGGUAGAUGAUAAAGUUCUUGACAAGAAGAGUCACUUAUAAAAAAUUUCAAUGUAGGACUCUCAUUCCUUCAAAGGGGUGUUCCUAUGGGUCACUCACAUGAUUAGGGGUGUUCCUAUGGUCUUAAUCACCCAGUAGUGGGUCCCUUACUGGUAUUUUUAUAUACUCAUUCUUUCUCUAUAUUUAAUAUUUCAGGCAAAGGUAGAUGAUCUGAAAAGCUGGUGAGCGAAAGGAAGAAUUUGUGACAUGCCAUAUAGGGACUUAUUUUAAAAAAAUUGUUAGUAUCCACGGGUCACGUUUUUAAAUUAUUUUUAUUGGUUUUAUCGAUAAAUUUAUGUCCUUUGAACAUUUAUUUGAUAGUUAAUUUUAUAAAAAUUCUAGUUUUUUUAUUUUUAAGAAAUUUUCUUUUGAUAUUUAUCUUUUAGAGAGAAGAUAUUUGUUUAGAAAGAAAAAAAUAAUAAUAAAAUAAUUAUAUUUUUUUUGAAAAAUAUAAUUAUUUGUAAAAGUAUAAUUAUUUUGGUAAAAGAAUAAAGUUGAUUGAACAGAAAGUUAAGUGAAGAGAGAGAAAAGAUGAAUAAAUAUGUAUAUUUUUAUAUAUUUUUUUUUAAUAAGGAUAUUUGAAAAUAAUUAAAAAAAAUUUGGGUUAUUUGAAAAAGGAAAAAGAAAACCGAGUAAUUAGGAGAAGGAAAUAAUAACAAUUUAUUAUUACUAUUAGUUACUAAUAUUAAAGAGGGUUCUCGCACUCCGUGCAAGUUAAUCAUUAUUCACCUUCUUCUUCAUUGGAGAAUCCCUAGCCCGUCGUUGUCACUGUGCAUCUCCGGCCGCCGUGAAUUCUACAAUCAACUCAGCUCCUCCACUCGACUAGCACUCAAAUGAAGUCGUUCAGCGUAGCCAGUCGAAGUUCUUCGUUCGCAUCAGAUCCUUCAUCAAGCCUAGACCUUCACCGGCAGCCAUCCUCUCGAUCGUCCUUCGUUCAUCCACGCUGUAGGUUUCAUCUAGCUGAGUCUAUUCCUCCGUCCCUUCAGUCCAAGCUGCUUCUCCGUUCGUGAGUUGAGCUCCCCAUACCCGGAGUUCCUUCCCCAUCUCCCAACCGUGUGAUUUUUGGAUUAAAUAUUAAAUUUUUGGUAAAAAAUAAAUUAAUUUUGGAUUAAGUUAGGUUGUUUUCUUAAAUUUGGAUUUUUCUCUACAAGGUUCACUUUGCUAAUAUUUUGAAAAAGUAAUUGGUGGAAUUUUCCCUAAUCAAAGUUGAAUCGGUUUCAACCUACUUUAGGUAAGUUGAUUUAAAAGGAUUUUUGGGUCUUUAGGCGAAACGGUUAAUUUUAUUAAUUUUAAUAGUUGAUUUCUCGUAGGAGUGGUUCGUUGGAAAAUCUUUGACU